AUGACAGGAGCGUGUGUUGUGGGGUGGGUGUUAGAGAGGGUGUUUGGGGUGGAUGUGUGCAGAGAGGGCGUGUCGGAGUCCGGCCUCUACUGUGACCACCUCCUGGAGAACAGUGGCCUAUCCCUAGCUGAGCUAGAGGAGAGAUGUAAGGAGGCCGCUGGCCAGAGGCUUCCUCUCUCCAGACUGGAGCUGAACAGGCAGGAAGUUACAGAGCUCUUCCAGGACAAUGCUCUGAGACUCCAGUUGAUUGAAGAACAGAUGAGUGGUCCUACUGUCACAGUCUACAGGUUUGUUGCUCAACAUCUCACAGCCUGAUACAACACAGUCAUGGUCUGUUUUUAAGGAGAAAUGACUGUACACUAGGAUGACAUGUCCAUCUCUUCCUGUUCCGUGUGUGGGUCAGGUGUGGAGACAGCAUAGGAGUCUGCAAUGGUCCUCUCCUCCCUCACACUG
Molecule: long non-coding RNA, 453 nt
Filed under: Salmo trutta (river trout)
Lineage: Eukaryota; Metazoa; Chordata; Actinopteri; Salmoniformes; Salmonidae
Description: lncRNA (ENSSTUG00000000942.1)
Source: RNAcentral